GCCAGCCCGCUCAGAACUUAACUGAAUUGACGGGGCCGCACAAGCGGAGGAGCAUGUGGUUUAAUUCGAUGAUACGCGAGGAACUUACCUGGGCUCGAACGUAAGAUGACUGUAGGUGAAAGCUUACAUCUCUUCGGAGCAUUUUACGAGGUGCUGCAUGGUUGUCGUCAGCUCGUGCCGUGAGGUGUCGGGUUAAGUCCCAUAACGAGCGCAACCCCUACCUUUAGUUGCCAUCAGGUUAAGCUGGGGACUCUAAAGGAACUGCCUACGCAAGUAGUGAGGAAGGCGGGGAUGACGUCAAAUCAGCACGGCCCUUACGUCCAGGGCUACACACGUGCUACAAUGGCCGAUACAGAGGGCAGCUACCUGGUGACAGGAUGCAAAUCUCCAAAGUCGGUCUCAGUUCGGAUCGGAGUCUGCAACCCGACUCCGUGAAGUUGGAUUCGCUAGUAAUCGCGCAUCAGCCAUGGCGCGGUGAAUACGUUCCCGGGCCUU
RNAcentral lists this ribosomal RNA (495 nucleotides) under uncultured Sphingobacteriales bacterium. RNAcentral describes it as "bacterial SSU rRNA". It matches the Rfam family "Bacterial small subunit ribosomal RNA", at positions 903 to 1382 of the family's 1533-position model. Lineage: Bacteria; Pseudomonadati; Bacteroidota; Sphingobacteriia; Sphingobacteriales. The record is from RNAcentral.